GAUGAACGCUGGCGGCGUGCCUAAUACAUGCAAGUCGAGCGAACGGACGAGAAGCUUGCUUCUCUGAUGUUAGCGGCGGACGGGUGAGUAACACGUGGAUAACCUACCUAUAAGACUGGGAUAACUUCGGGAAACCGGAGCUAAUACCGGAUAAUAUUUUGAACCGCAUGGUUCAAAAGUGAAAGACGGUCUUGCUGUCACUUAUAGAUGGAUCCGCGCUGCAUUAGCUAGUUGGUAAGGUAACGGCUUACCAAGGCAACGAUGCAUAGCCGACCUGAGAGGGUGAUCGGCCACACUGGAACUGAGACACGGUCCAGACUCCUACGGGAGGCAGCAGUAGGGAAUCUUCCGCAAUGGGCGAAAGCCUGACGGAGCAGCGCCGCGUGAGUGAUGAAGGUCUUCGGAGCGUAAAACUCUGUUAUUAGGGAAGAACAUAUGUGUAAGUAACUGUGCACAGCUUGACGGUACCUAAUCAGAAAGCCACGGCUAACUACGUG
This 497-nucleotide ribosomal RNA is filed under the name uncultured bacterium. RNAcentral describes it as "partial 16S ribosomal RNA". It matches the Rfam family "Bacterial small subunit ribosomal RNA", at positions 28 to 507 of the family's 1533-position model. The record is from RNAcentral.